Molecule: ribosomal RNA, 588 nt
Filed under: uncultured bacterium
Lineage: Bacteria
Description: bacterial SSU rRNA
Rfam family: Bacterial small subunit ribosomal RNA
Source: RNAcentral
CCUACGGGAGGCAGCAGUGGGGAAUUUUGGACAAUGGACGCAAGUCUGAUCCAGCCAUUCCGCGUGCAGGACGAAGGCCUUCGGGUUGUAAACUGCUUUUGUACGGAACGAAAAAAGCUCUUAUUAAUACUAGGAGUCCAUGACGGUACCGUAAGAAUAAGCACCGGCUAACUACGUGCCAGCAGCCGCGGUAAUACGUAGGGUGCAAGCGUUAAUCGGAAUUACUGGGCGUAAAGCGUGCGCAGGCGGUUAUUUAAGACAGAUGUGAAAUCCCCGAGCUUAACUUGGGAACUGCAUUUGUGACUGUAUAGCUAGAGUACGGCAGAGGGGGAUGGAAUUCCGCGUGUAGCAGUGAAAUGCGUAGAUAUGCGGAGGAACACCGAUGGCGAAGGCAAUCCCCUGGGCCUGUACUGACGCUCAUGCACGAAAGCGUGGGGAGCAAACAGGAUUAGAUACCCUGGUAGUCCACGCCCUAAACGAUGUCAACUGGUUGUUGGGUCUUCACUGACUCAGUAACGAAGCUAACGCGUGAAGUUGACCGCCUGGGGAGUACGGCCGCGAAGGUUGAAACGUCAAAGGAAUUGACGG